AGUCACACUCCUUGGAAGCUGCAGAGUUGGUGAGGUGAGGUUGGCUGGUGGCUUUCCUUAUAUUCCUGAUCUCUCUAAGGCUUUCACCUUAGAGUCCUUCAUAAGAGUGGUCAAACAAAAGCUGUGUAUGAGCCGAAUCAGAUGACUCACAAAGGAAAUUUUUUCCUACAAUCCAAAGGAAGUCAACCGGGAAGAAAUGACAUUUCUAUAAAAGCAGUAUCCAUCAUCUAAAGAAGGAACAUGAAAGUUCACCCGUGCUUCUCUGUGUGUGUCAGUAUGAUACCUCUGCUAUUGAAAACAUGCAUCACUGAUUAUUCAUAAGAAGCAAAUGAGGUAAACACUAACCAUCGUGAGUAGUCAGAGUACAACCCUGAAGUAGUUGUCAUUGACCUGGAAAGUAGGUGUGAGAAAUCCACACAUAAACCAGAAAAAGAAAAACAUAAAGCCCUGUUCUCUUUCAUAAGAUACUCUAAGCUCACCUAAAGAACAUUUCUAAAGAUGGCAAGCUGUGGACUGAGCAAUUGGAAAGGGAAUUAGGAGGCUAAAAAUAGCAGCGGCAGUGUGCUGCAUCUGAGGGGAGCUCGAAUGAGUUCAUAAAUACCUCUGGGCCAGGGCAAAGGAUGGAGUUUGAGAACAGCUCACGGGCAUUUGGAAAAAUAACUUCCUUUUCGUUGACUCCCUAAGAAUACAUCACAGAGAGAUGAUGCUUGUGGCUUCCAAGCUAGGUCCUUACCAAGGACAACAACUAUCUGGAUUGCCUUCUUCAAAGGAAGCAAUGUCAAUGCCAUCACAAAGCUCUUCACUUAAGUGGAGAGAAAUGGAAGCUUCCCACGAGCACCCCGUCAUCACCCUAGAGCUAUAGGUAAAAAGCUGAAAGGCACAGCAUCAACCUCCUCCAAUCCCCAUCUUCUGGAGCUUAUCCUGGACCUUUCAUCUUAGUUGUAUGUGAAAUUUGCUGCUGCUGAAGACACCACAUGCUUGAGUCAUAGAACAUGAAGAUAUCACCCUGGUACUGACCCCCACUACCUAGCUCUCAUA
Non-coding RNA from Peromyscus maniculatus bairdii (prairie deer mouse), 1038 nucleotides. Lineage: Eukaryota; Metazoa; Chordata; Mammalia; Rodentia; Cricetidae. The record is from RefSeq and is a predicted model, not a curated record.